RNAcentral lists this long non-coding RNA (15202 nucleotides) under Citrus x clementina. RNAcentral's name for it is "Citrus clementina (C. clementina) long non-coding RNA (CCLE_LNC005023)". The stretch from base 9589 to 9695 matches the Rfam family "Plant small nucleolar RNA R71". Lineage: Eukaryota; Viridiplantae; Streptophyta; Magnoliopsida; Sapindales; Rutaceae. The record is from RNAcentral.
CGUCCAGCGGAAAAAGGCCACAAAAAUGGGUGGGCUAUAGCCUUGGGGGGGGGGGGCUGGCCAACUUCGUCCGCCGGACUCGGAAUGCCGCGAGCCUUUGCGAGGGGCCUCCGUGUGCCAAAAAUAGGCCGCAGGCAAAGCCGUGCCCAAAAUUAACCGCCCGAAGGCCGGGGCGCCAAGUUCGUCCAGCGGAAAAAGGCCACAAAAAUGGGUGGGCUAUAGCCUUCGGGGGUGGGGCUUGCCAACUUCGUCCGCCGCACUCGGAAUGCCGCGAGCCUUUGCGAGGGGCCUCCGUGUGCCAAAAAUAGGCCGCGGGCAAAACCGCGCCCAAAAAUAACCGCCCGAAGGCCGGGGCGCCAAGUUCGUCCAGCGGAAAAAGGCCACAAAAACGGGUGGGCUAUAGCCUUGGGGGGUGGGGCUGGCCAACUUCGUCCGCCGCACUCCGAAUGCCGCGAGCCUUUGCGAGGGGCCUCCGUGUGAUGAAAAUAGGCCACGGGCAAAGCCGCGCCCAAAAUUACCGCCCGAAGGAUGGGGCGCCAAGUUCGUCCAGCGGAAAAAGGCCACAAAAAUGGGUGGGCUAUAGCCUUGGGGGGUGAUGUUGGCCAACUUCGUCCGCUGGACUCGGAAUGCCGCGAGACUUUGCGAGGGGCCUCCGUGUGCCAAAAAUAGGCCGCGGGCAAAGCCGUGCCCAAAAUUAACCGCCCGAAGGCCGGGUCGCCAAUUUCGUCCAGCGGAAAAAGGCCACAAAAACUGGUGGGCUAUAGCCUUGGGGGGUGAUGCUGGCCCACUUCGUCCGCCGGACUCGGAAUGCCGCGAGACUUUGCGAGGGGUCUCCGUGUGCCAAAAAUAGGCCACGUGCAAAGCCGCGCCCAAAAUUAACCACCCGAAGGCCGGGGCGCCAAGUUCGUCCAGCGGAAAAAGGCCACAAAAACGGGUGGGCUAUAGCCUUGGGGGGUGGGGCCGGCCAACUUCGUCCGCCGGACUCGGAAUGCCGCGAGACUUUGCGAGGGGCCUCCGUGUGCCAAAAAUAGGCCACGGACAAAGCCGCGCCCAUAAAUAACCACCCGAAGGUCGGGGAGCCAAGUUCGUCUAUCGGAAAAAGGCCACAAAAACGGGUGGGCUAUAGCCUUGGGGGGUGGGGCUGGCCCACUUCGUCCGCCGGACUCGGAAUGCAGCGAGACUUUACGAGGGGCCUCCGUGUGCCAAAAAUAAGCCGUGGGCAAAGCCGCGCCCAAAAAUAACCGCCCGAAGGCUGGGGCGCCAAGUUCGUCCAGCGGAAAAAGGCCACAAAAACGGGUGGGCUAUAGCCUUGGGGGGUGGGGCUGGCCAACUUCUUCCGCCGGACUCGGAAUGCCGCGAGACUUUGCGAGGGGCCUCCAUGUGCCAAAAAUAGGCCACGGACAAAGCCGCGCCCAUAAAUAACCACCCGAAGGUCGGGGAGCCAAGUUCGUCUAUCGGAAAAAGGCCACAAAAACGGGUGGGCUAUAGCCUUGGGGUGUGGGGCUGGCCGACUUCGUCCGCCGGACUCGGAAUGCCGUGAGACUUUACGAGGGGCCUCCGUGUGCCAAAAAUAGGCCGCGGGCAAAGCCGCGCCCAAAAAUAACCGCCCGAAGGCCGGGGCGCCAAGUUCGUCCAGCGGAAAAAGGCCACAAAAACGGGUGGGCUAUAGCCUUGGGGGGUGGGGCUGGCCAACUUCUUCCGCCGGACUCGGAAUGCCGCGAGAUUUUGCGAGGGGCCUCCUUGUACCAAAUAGGCCACGGACAAAGCCGCGCCCAAAAUUAACAGCCCGAAGGCCGGGGCGCCAAGUUCGUCCCGCGGAAAACGCCACAACAACGGGUGGGCUAUAGCCUUGGGGGGUGGGGCUGGCCAACUUCGUCCGCUGCACUCCGAAUGCCGCGAGCCUUUGCGAGGGGCCUCCAUGUGCUGAAAAUAGGCCGUGGGCAAAGCCGCGUCCAAAAUUAAUUGCCCGAAGGCCGGGGCGCCAAGUUCGUCCAGCAGAAAAAGGCCACAAAAAUGGGUGGGCUAUAGCCUUGGGGGGUGAUGCCGGCCAACUUCGUCUGCCGGACUCGGAAUGCCGCGAGGCUUUGCGAGGGGCCUCCGUGUGCCAAAAAUAGGCCGCUGGCAAAUCCGCGCCCAAAAUUAACUGCCCGAAGGCCGGGUCGCCAAGUUCGUCCAGCGGAAAAAGGCCACAAAAACGGGUGGGCUAUAGCCUUGGGGGGUGGGGCUGGCCAACUUCGUCCGCCGGACUUGGAAUGCCGCGAGACAUUGCGAGGGGCCUCUGUGUGCCAAAAAUAGGCCGCGGUCAUAGCCGCGCCCAAAAUUAACCUCCCUGUUGCGUAAAUUAGCAAGUGUACUAGUCGGCACAAGUAAUAUAAUGAAGAGUAGAGUAUCGUCCCACAGAGAUUGUAUAUCCUAUUAGUUACCAAAAUUAUUCUAACUCUAAUUUAUUUGAACAAUCGAAUAAGCGAAUUUAGAUUAAAAUAAAAUAAAAUAAAAUAAUUAAAAAUUAAACAAAGAUGCAGACAGUAAUAGAAAAUUACCAAGAGAUUAAAACACUAGGACAUCCGAUUUCACCAUAACCAAUCCAAUUUAAUCCUCCAUCUAUGCUAUUAAAGUUUACUACCCAUGUUGACAGUGAAUUUCCCUAAUUUAUUCAAUAUCCUCUCUCGAGUAAUAUCAAAAAUAUCUCCACAUAUCAACCCACUAUAUCUCUAUGUGAAUUUAAAUAUGCAAAGAUUCAUUAAGCUCUAUGGAAAUUCUUAAAUAAGACUGCACGAAUCACGUUGGCACAUCUCUGUCUUUCGUUCAAUUCAUGGCAUCCAUUACACAGAGCAAAAAUACAUAAAUCUCCUCUCGGUCUCAUUAUGUAUCCUCAAAUCAUUCAAAUAUUGGCCAGAUAUUUAAAAGCAUUAAGCACAAUAAUGAACACUCAAUCAUGGAAUAAUUAAUUAAAAAAAAUAACAUAGAUUUAUGGAAUUAAAUCUUCAUAGUUAGGCUACAUCGUAGCCCUAGUAAAAUAAAUUAGUUCAUGGGAAUAUAAAGAGAAUUCAUUAAUUUAAUUGGAAACAUUCAAGCAAGAUAAUAGAGAAGAGAGAAAGAAAAACUCAAGAAUUAAUGUGUCUUCCUUCUGCUCUAAAUUAUUCCCGCUGCUCUCGGCUUUCCUCAAAACUUGCGGCUGCUGCUCUUCUCUUUAUUUUCUCUUGGCUGCUAUUCUCCUUGUGCGGCUGCCUUUUUCCUUCUCCUGUGCUUCCGCUUGGCUUUGCCCUUUUAUAAUAUUGUGACUUCUUCCAAAUCCUUAAAUGAAAAGGAUUUCCAUACAAAACAAAUCCAGCCCACCUUUCAAGCCCAUCCACGUAUUUCAUUCCUAAUCCAAUCAUAAUUAAAAGCAAAAUCAUCUCCACGUGUUGCAUGCCAUAUUCUCUUUGUAAAUGAAUUCUUCAAUGCUUCCUCCACGUGCUGCAUGCAUGCUUAAUGAUUAAUUAAAUUAAAUCCUUUGUGAUUUGUUUCAAUUAAUUCUCUUUAAUCCCAUAUUGUACCUAAAAUAAUAAAAUAUAAAAAUUAAAAUAAAAUUAACAUAAUAAAACAUAAAAUUAAGUUAUGAAAGCAUUAAAAUAAUAGAUAAAUUAUGAGCACAUCAAAUACCCCCAAACUUAACAUUUUGCUAGUCCUCGAGCAAAAAACUAAAAUAAAAACUACGAAAAGAAAAUUCUAACUAAACCACUUUCGCAGGUGAUCGCGAUUGCAUUUAGCGUAUGCAACAAGCCUUUAAACCCCUAGGCGGCCCUAGUGGACGAGUUAUAGUCUCGUGAGGGUUUCCAGCGAUGAUACCCACAAACAUCAUCAAAAAUGCCUCAAAGAUUGCAUAAAGUAUAUAGCUCAAAGAAAAUUAAAAAUAUUAGCAAAGUUCUAACUUUAAUUCAAUGGUCAACCUCAUCUCAUAUUGGAUUCCUGUGUUGUGUGUGAAUCAAUUCAAUCAAAACUCAUUCUCAAGAUCUUCAACAUCAACAGCCCUUUGUCUCGAAUAAUAAACAGAGUAGGUCAAACUAACCUCAUCAUCUUGAUCUCUUUUUUUUUUUUUUUUUCUCAGGCAUAAAUUUGCAUUUUUUUUUCUUGAAGCACAUGCUUUUUUUUUUUUUUUUUUUCAUUUCAUUUCUUUGUCCAUAAUCAGGAGCUUUCACUCUACCCCUUAAGGUAGCCUUCUUCUCAUGGUAGAUUAUCCUCUACAUACUGGUGGUACAUAGGCCCAAAUUACUCAAGGAUAGCUUCACUCUUAAGGGUUGUAGGUAGCUAUUUCUGACUAUGGUGCCUGGAUAAACUUAAGUAAUGUAGAAUCGAGGCAAACAGUCAUUUACUCAAUCUAAAAUUCUCAACUUAGGCUGUAUCAAUCUCAAAUCUCAAGUCAAAAUCUAAAAGAAUUGAUAUAAGUGCGCAAGAUAUUUAAAGAAUCACAAUCAAGACGAAACUAACACAAGAAUCAAGUAUAAACUAAGAUAAUAUUCAUCCCUUUCUAAGAACCAUAUUUAUUGUCAAUCAUAAACUCAUCAUAGGCAUUAAAAUCUUUUUUUUUUUGAAUAAAAUGAAAAGCAAAUAUUCCCACCCCCAAACUUAAAAUAAACAUUGUCCUCAAUGUAACGAAAAAGAAAAGGAAAAGAGAAACUCCCCCGGUUUUGCACUUGAAGAUAGAAAGUUGUAGCUGAGUCGUUGAAAGGCAUGUGGAAAGUGGAUGUUCAUCGACCCCCGAACUCGUGCAAAAUCUAGAUAAAACAAAAUAAAAUAAGUAAAAGAAAAGAAAAAGAAUACGAAAAAAAAAUUGAUAAUAAUAAAGUUUAGAAAGCUUGGGUUGCCUCCCAAGAAGCGCUUAAUUUAUAGUCAUUAGCUUGACUAUCUUUGGUCGUCAUUCAAGACUAGACAUCUCAAUAGCUAUCUUGUGCUUAUCAAAUGCAGCAUCCAAAUAAGGCUUCAAUCGAUGACCAUUAACCUUGAAUGUGCCCUUUGUAUCAUGUGAAACUUCUACCACGCCAGACGGAAAGACUUGUGUUAUUGUAAAAGGACCAGACCAACGGGAUCGCAACUUGCCUGGGAAAAGCCGAAGUCGAGAAUUAUAUAAUAAAACAUUUUGGCCAACUUGAAAUUCACGUCUGAGUAUAUGCUUGUCAUGCCAAUGUUUAGUGCGGGCUUUAUAGAUUCGAGCAUUCUCAUAAGCUGCAUUGCGAAAUUCAUCCAUUUCAUUAAGUUGCAACAAUCUCUUUUCUCCUGCUGCUGGCAUAUCAAAGUUCAAAAUCUUCAUCGCCCAAUAUGCCCUAUGCUCAAGUUCAACAGGUAGAUGGCAUGCUUUUCCGAAUACUAGACGAUAAGGAGACAUUCCAAUAGUGGUUUUGAAAGCUGUUCGAUACGCCCAGAGUGCAUCGUCUAAUUUUAUCGACCAAUCCUUCCGUGAGCAUUUACUGUUUUCUCAAUUCUCUUAAUCUAAUUCUCGAUUCGAAACUUCNNNNNNNNNNNNNNNNNNNNNNNNNNNNNNNNNNNNNNNNNNNNNNNNNNNNNNNNNNNNNNNNNNNNNNNNNNNNNNNNNNNNNNNNNNNNNNNNNNNNNNNNNNNNNNNNNNNNNNNNNNNNNNNNNNNNNNNNNNNNNNNNNNNNNNNNNNNNNNNNNNNNNNNNNNNNNNNNNNNNNNNNNNNNNNNNNNNNNNNNNNNNNNNNNNNNNNNNNNNNNNNNNNNNNNNNNNNNNNNNNNNNNNNNNNNNNNNNNNNNNNNNNNNNNNNNNNNNNNNNNNNNNNNNNNNNNNNNNNNNNNNNAAUUCUACUUCAGAUAUUAGUUAGUGGCAUUUCAUUCUUCCUUGAAAUGUUACCAGUUCUCUGACACCGGUCACAAGCAGCAAUAAAAACAUAAGCAUCUUUAAAUAAAGUGGGCCAAUAAAAACCUGAUUGAAGCACUUUUGCCGCAGUUUUGGUUGCGCCAAAAUGUCCACCGACUUCUCGAGAAUGACAGUGUUGUAGAAUGCUUCUCAUCUCUUCUUCCGGGACACAUCGUCGAAUGAUUUGGUCUGAACAAUACUUAUACAAGAAUGGAUCUUCCCAAAGAUAAUACUUAACAUCUGAAAAGAAUUUCUUCUUCUGUUGAUAUGAUAAAUCAGAAGGAACAACGGCGCUUGCCAAAUAGUUCACGAAAUCUGCAUACCAUGGUGCGUCGCAAGUUUGCAAGGCCAACAGCUUUUCAUCAGGAAAUUCUUCGGUGAUUGAAACCAUUACAUUAUCCCCUCGCUCUCCCUGCUCUAACCGAGAUAAGUGAUCUGCCACUAAAUUUUCAGAUCCCUUCUUAUCCCGAAUCUCUAAAUCAAAUUCUUGUAGUAAGAGCACCCAACGGAUCAGUCUUGGUUUAGCAUUUGCCUUUGUGAACAGAUACUUGAGAGCUGAAUGAUCAGUGUAAACUAUUACCUUGGAGCAAAUCAGAUAUGAGCGGAAUUUUUCAAGUGCAAACACAACGGCUAGAAACUCUUUCUCAGUGGUAGCAUAAUUUAAUUGUGCGUCUGUCAGAGUUCGACUUGCAUAGUAAAUAACAUGCAACAUGUUUUUAUACCGCUGCCCCAAAACUGCUCCAAUAGCAUAAUCACUCGCAUCACACAUAACCUCGAACGGCAGAUCCCAAUCUGGAGCCAUAAUAACUGGAGCUGAAAUCAGUUUCUCCUUUAAAGUGUUAAAAGCCUGCAAACACUUAUCGGUAAAAUUGAAAGGCACAUCCUUGAGUAAAAGGUUGCAUAAGGGUUUCGUUAUCUUUGAAAAAUCUUUAAUAAAACGUCGAUAAAACCCGGCAUGCCCUAGAAAACUUCUUACUGCUUUCACGGAAGUUGGUGGUGGCAACUUCUCAAUGACUUCGAUCUUCGCUCUAUCUACUUCAAUUCCUUUAGCUGAAAUACGAUGACCUAGCACAAUGCCUUCUUGCACCAUAAAGUGACAUUUUUCCCAAUUCAAAACCAAGUUUGUCUCCUCACAUCGCUGUAAAACUAGAUCUAAAUUGUUUAGACAAUGAUCAAAUGAAGAUCCAAAAACUGAGAAAUCAUCCAUAAACACCUCAAUGAAUCUCUCCACCAUAUCAGAAAAUAUUGCCAUCAUGCAACGUUGAAAGGUAGCUGGUGCAUUGCAUAAGCCGAAUGGCAUUCUUCUAUAAGCAAAUGUACCAUAAGGACAUGUGAAGGUGGUUUUCUCUUGAUCUUCUGGUGCUAUAGGGAUUUGAUUAUAGCCUGAAUAUCCAUCUAAAAAGCAAUAGUAGGCAUGACCAGCAAGUCUCUCCAACAUUUGAUCAAUAAAAGGUAGUGGAAAAUGGUCUUUUCUAGUAGCAGCAUUAAGUUUUCUGUAAUCCAUGCAUACCCGCCAACCUGUGACUGUCCUUGUUGGGAUAAGUUCAUUGUUGUCAUUCUUCACGACCGUCAUUCCUUCUUUCUUUGGUACCACUUGCACUGGACUGACCCAUUUGCUAUCAGAGAUUGGAUAAAUUAUCCCAGCAUCCAAUAAUUUAAGCACCUCUGCCCUAACCACUUCUUGCAUGUUUGGAUUUAGGCGCCUUUGUGGCUGUACUGUCGGCUGAUAACUCUCCUCCAUUAGAAUCUUGUGCAUGCAAAUUGAAGGGCUUAUUCCUUUGAUGUCGGCAAUAGUCCAUCCUAGAGCAGCUUUGUGAUCCCUCAAAACUCGAAGUACCUUUUCCUCUUCAAGAUCUGUCAAGGCAGAAGAAAUAAUAACUGGUAGCUUAGAGUUAUCAUCUAAAUAAGCAUACCUUAAAUGAGAGGGCAAUGGCUUAAGCUCAUGUUUUGGAGGUUCUUCUAUUGAAGGUUUUGGUCUAGAAGGAUUUCUACCAAGCUCUUCCAAUUCCGGCUUUUUCGAAGGCAAGUAAAAUGGUGAAGCUUCCAAAUACCGAGCAACUUCCUGAAUACUUGUAUUCGUAGAUUGAGUAGUCCCAGAGUGAACAAUACAUCCUUCUAGUGUGUCAUUCGGCAUUGUAUCGCGCAAGCUCUCAAUUAUCUCCUUAUCAAUGGUGUCUAUUUGAAGGCACGUGUCGAUCUCUGAUGGGUAUUUCAUUGCUUCGAACACAUUGAAAGUGACUUGCUCAUUUUGCACCCUAAGGAUUAGUUUUCCUUCUUGGACAUCAAUAAGAGUUCUUCCUGUGGCCAAGAAUGGUCGGCCUAAAAUGAUUGGUAUCUCUCGAUCUUCAAUCAUAUCCAAAACAAUAAAAUCUGCAGGAAAUAUAAACUUGUCGACCUUAACAAGUACGUCUUCAAUCAUUCCUCUAGGAUAUUUUAUAGACCUAUCUGCCAAUUGAAGAGAAACAGUUGUUGCCUUUGGUUCACCAAGUCCUAAUUUCCUGAAAACAGAGAGAGGCAUCAAAUUAAUACUUGCACCUAAAUCACACAAAGCUUUAUCAAAAUACGUAUUUCCAAUAGUGCAUGGGAUAGAAAAACUCCCUGGAUCUUUCAACUUCGGUGGCAAUUUAUUCUGUAGAAUUGCAGUUGACUCUUCAGUUAACAACACGGUUUCAUGCUCUUCUAAUUUCCUCUUGUUGGAUAAAAUUUCUUUCAUGAAUUUAGCAUAGCUUGGCAUUUGUUCUAAUGCAUCUGCAAAAGGAAUGUUAAUAUGCAACUUUUUAAAGACAUCAAGAAAUUUAGAGAACUGCUUAUCUAAUUUGUUUUUCCGAAGGCGCUGAGGAAACGGGAUUGGAGGGACAUAAGCUUUGACUGGUGCUGAUUGUUGUGAUUGUGGAAUUUCUGUACUUGUUGUCUUAUAUGUUCUAGUGGUGUCUUUAGUUUGCUCCAUGUUAUCUUCUUCAACUUCCUUUACUUCUUUAGGCGGAUCUUCAAGUUGUCUACCAUUCCGAAGCAUAAUUGCAUUCAUUUGUUCCUUUGGAUUUGUCUCUGUGUUGCUCGGCAGAGAGCCUUGUGGUCUGCUGGAUAACAAGUUUGCAAUCUGACCCAUUUGCACCUCGAGGUUCCGGAUUGAUGCAGCUUGAUUUUGAAAAGUUGUCUCUGUUUUGGUCAUGAAUUGAGACAUAUUUGUUGUAAGUUGGGUAAGAGCAUCUUCCAAAUUUGACUUCUUCUCUUGUGAUUGGAACCCUGGAGGUGGUUUCAAUGUAUUUUGAUUGUUGUUCCAUGACAAAUUCGGGUGGUUUCUCCAACCAGGAUUGUAGGUAUUAGAAUAUGGGUUAUUUUGUUGCCUCUGAAAGUUUGACACAUAAUGAGCUUGUUCAGCAGAUGAUGACGCAAAAGGACUUCCAACUUGGCAGUUGACACUGGUAUGGUUCCCUCCGCAUAAUUCACACACUUGAGUUUGAAUAGCACUGACAUUUAGGUGCUCCAGUUUAUUAGAUAAAGCAGUCAUCUGUGCAGAUAAAACAGUGACAACAUCAACAUUAUGGGCUCCUACAAUUUUCCUUGGCAUUGAUCGCUCUGAAGUCCACUGGUAAUUGUUGGAUGCCAUCUCCUCCAAUAAUUCAUAAGCUGCUUCUGGUGUUUUUCCCAUUAACGUUCCUCCUGCUGCAGCAUCAAUUAUUGUUCUGGUAUUGGAUCCCAAACCAUUGUAAAAUGUCUGCACCUGAAGCCAAACUGGUAGACCAUGAUGUGGACAUUUUCUUAGUAGGUCUUUGUAUCUCUCCCAUGCUUCAUAUAAUGAUUCCAUCUCGAACUGAGCAAAGGUUGUGAUGUCAUUCCUCAAUUUGGCUGUUUUUGCUGGAGGAAAGUACUUUGCUAAAAACUUCUGUGCUAAACCAUCCCAAGUAGUGAUUGUUCCAGCAGGGAGUGAGUUCAACCACUCUUUUGCUUUAUCUCUCAGUGAGAACGGAAAAAGCCUUAGCCUGAUAGCAUUGUCUGAAACACCAUUUUGCUUAAAUGUGUCACAAAUUUCCAAGAAAUUUGCAAUAUGAGCAUUUGGAUCAUCAUUUGGCAUCCCAGCAAACUGUACUGACGUUUGAAUCAUCUGGAUUAUGGCUGGCUUAAUUUCAAAAUUAUUGGCUUGAACGGCAGGACGUGCAAUGCUUGAGCGAGCACCAUUAACUGUAGGUGCAGCAUAAUCUCUUAAGGGUUUUGCUUCCUCAUUUCCAUGUAACGCUUCGUCAGCCAUGAUUAGUUGUUGCUCCUGUGAAGCUUCUCUCCUUUCUUUAUUAAGCCUUCUACACGUACGUUCAAUCUCUGGAUCAAAAGGCAAUAAAUCAAAACUUCUUGAGCGUCUCAUAAAAUUAAACAAGAAAAUAAAAAUUCAAAUAAAAACAAUAAAAAUAAAAUUCAAAUUAAACUAAGGUUAGUUGGUAUCGAUACUAAUCCAAACAAUCCCCGGCAACGGCGCCAAAAACUUGUUGCGUAAAUUAGCAAGUGUACUAGUCGGCACAAGUAAUAUAAUGAAGAGUAGAGUAUCGUCCCACAGAGAUUGUAUAUCCUAUUAGUUACCAAAAUUAUUCUAACUCUAAUUUAUUUGAACAAUCGAAUAAGCGAAUUUAGAUUAAAAUAAAAUAAAAUAAAAUAAUUAAAAAUUAAACAAAGAUGCAGACAGUAAUAGAAAAUUACCAAGAGAUUAAAACACUAGGACAUCCGAUUUCACCAUAACCAAUCCAAUUUAAUCCUCCAUCUAUGCUAUUAAAGUUUACUACCCAUGUUGACAGUGAAUUUCCCUAAUUUAUUCAAUAUCCUCUCUCGAGUAAUAUCAAAAAUAUCUCCACAUAUCAACCCACUAUAUCUCUAUGUGAAUUUAAAUAUGCAAAGAUUCAUUAAGCUCUAUGGAAAUUCUUAAAUAAGACUGCACGAAUCACGUUGGCACAUCUCUGUCUUUCGUUCAAUUCAUGGCAUCCAUUACACAGAGCAAAAAUACAUAAAUCUCCUCUCGGUCUCAUUAUGUAUCCUCAAAUCAUUCAAAUAUUGGCCAGAUAUUUAAAAGCAUUAAGCACAAUAAUGAACACUCAAUCAUGGAAUAAUUAAUUAAAAAAAAUAACAUAGAUUUAUGGAAUUAAAUCUUCAUAGUUAGGCUACAUCGUAGCCCUAGUAAAAUAAAUUAGUUCAUGGGAAUAUAAAGAGAAUUCAUUAAUUUAAUUGGAAACAUUCAAGCAAGAUAAUAGAGAAGAGAGAAAGAAAAACUCAAGAAUUAAUGUGUCUUCCUUCUGCUCUAAAUUAUUCCCGCUGCUCUCGGCUUUCCUCAAAACUUGCGGCUGCUGCUCUUCUCUUUAUUUUCUCUUGGCUGCUAUUCUCCUUGUGCGGCUGCCUUUUUCCUUCUCCUGUGCUUCCGCUUGGCUUUGCCCUUUUAUAAUAUUGUGACUUCUUCCAAAUCCUUAAAUGAAAAGGAUUUCCAUACCAAACAAAUCCAGCCCACCUUUCAAGCCCAUCCACGUAUUUCAUUCCUAAUCCAAUCAUAAUUAAAAGCAAAAUCCUCUCCACGUGUUGCAUGCCAUAUUCUCUUUGUAAAUGAAUUCUUCAAUGCUUCCUCCACGUGCUGCAUGCAUGCUUAAUGAUUAAUUAAAUUAAAUCCUUUGUGAUUUGUUUCAAUUAAUUCUCUUUAAUCCCAUAUUGUACCUAAAAUAAUAAAAUAUAAAAAUUAAAAUAAAAUUAACAUAAUAAAACAAAAAAUUAAGUUAUGAAAGCAUUAAAAUAAUAGAUAAAUUAUGAGCACAUCACUCCCGAAGGCCGGGGCGCCAAGAUUGUCCAGCGGAAAAAGGCCACAAAAACGGGUGGGCUAUAGCCUUGAGGGGUGGGGAUGGCCAACUUCGUCCGCCGGACUAGGAAUGCCGCAAGACUUUGCGAGGGGCCUCCGUGUGCCAAAAAUAGGCCGUGGGCAAAGCCACGCCCAAAAAUAACCGCCCGAAGGCCGGGGCGCCAAGUUCGUCCAGCGGAAAAAGGCCACAAAAACGGGUGGGCUAUAGCUUUGGGGGGUGGGGCUGGCCAACUUUGUCCGCCGGACUCGGAAUGCCGCGAGACUUUGCGAGGGGCCUCCAUGUGCCAAAAAUAGGCCGUGGGCAAAGCUGCGCCCAAAAAUAACCGCCCGAAAGCCAGGGCGCCAAGUUCGUCCAGCGGAAAAAGACCACAAAAACGGUUGGGCAAUAGCCUUCGGGGGUGGGUCUGGCCAACUUCGUCCGCCGGACUCGGAAUGCUGCAAGACUUUGCGAGGGGCCUCCAUGUGCCAAAAAUAGGCCGCGGGCAAAGCCACGCCCAAAAAUAACCGCCCGAAGGCCGAGGCGCCAAGUUCGUCAAGCGGAAAAAGGCCACAAAAACGGGUGGGCUAUAGCCUUGGGGGGUGGGGCUGGCCAACUUCGCCCGCCGGACUCGGAAUGCAGCGAGACUUUGCGAGGGGCCUCCGUGUGCCAAAAAUAGGCCGCGGGCAAAGCCGCGCCCAAAAAUAACCGCCCGAAGGCCGGGGCGCCAAGUUCGUCCAGCGGAAAAAGUCCACAAAAACGGGUGGGCUAUAGCCUUGGGGGGUGGGGCUGGCCAACUUCGUCCGCCGGACUCGGAAUUCCGCAAGACUUUUCGAGGGGCCUCCGUGUGCCAAAAAUAGGCCGCGGGCAAAGCCGCGCCCAAAAAUAACCGCCCGAAGGCCGGGGCACCAAGUUCGUCCAGCGGAAAAAGGCCACAAAAAUGGGUGGGCUAUAGCCUUGGGGGGUGGGGCUGGCCCACUUCGUCCGCCGGACUCGGAAUUCCGCAAAACUUUGCGAGGGGCCUCCGUGUGCCAAAAAUAGGCCGCGGGCAAAGCCGCGCCCAAAAAUAACCGCCCGAAGGCCGGGGCGCCAAGUUCGUCCAGCGGAAAAAGUCCACAAAAACGGGUGGGCUAUAGCCUUGGGGGGUGGGGCUGGCCAACUUCGUCCGCCGGACUCGGAAUGCCGCGAGACUUUGCGAGCGGCCUCCGUGUGCCAAAAAUACGCCGCGGGCAAAGCAACACCCAAAAAUAACCGCCCGAAGGCCGGGGCGCCAAGUUCGUCCAGCGGAAAAAGGCGACAAAAACGGGUGGGCUAUAGCCUUGGGGGGUGGGGCUGGACAACUUCGUCCGCCGGACUCGGACUGCCGCGAGACUUUGCGAGGGGCCUCCGUGUGCCAAAAAUAGGCCGUGGACUAAGCCGUACCCAAAAAUAACCUCCCGAAGGCCGGGGCGCCUAGUUUGUCCAGCGGAAAAAGGCCACAAAAACGGGUGGGCUAUAGCCUUGGGGGGUGGGUCUGGCCCACUUCGUCCGCCGGACUCGGAAUGCCGCGAGACUUUGCGAGGGGCCUCCGUGUGCCAAAAAUACGCCGCGGUGAAAGCCGCGUCCAAAAAUAACCACCCGAACGCCGGGGCGCCAAGUUCGUCCAGUGGAAAAAGGCCACAAAAACGGGUGGGCUAUAGCCUUGGAGGGUGGGGCUGGCCCACUUCGUCCGCCGGACUCGGAAUGCCGUGAGACUUUGCGAGGGGCCUCUGUGUGCCAAAAAUAGGUCGUGGGCAAAGCCGCGCCCAAAAAUAACCGCCCGAAAGCCGGGGCGCCAAGUUCGUCCAGCGGAAAAAGGCCACAAAAACAGGUGGGCUAUAGCCUUGGGGGGUGGGGCUGGCCAACUUCGUCCGCCGGACUCGGAAUGCCGCGAGACUUUGCGAGCGGCCUCCGUGUGCCAAAAAUACGCCGCGGGCAAAGUAACACCCAAAAAUAACCGCCCGAAGGCCGGGGCGCCAAGUUCGUCCAGCGGAAAAAGGCGACAAAAACAGGUGGGCUAUAGCCUUGGGGGGUGGGGCUGGCCAACUUCGUCCGCCGGACUCGGAAUGCCACGAGACUUUGGGAGGGGCCUCUGUGUGCCAAAAAUAGGCCACGCGCAAAGCCGCGUCCAAAAAUAACCGCCCGAAUGCCGGGGCGCCAAGUUUGUCCAGCGGAAAAAGGCCACAAAAACGGGUGGGCAAUAGCCUUGGGGGGUGGGGCUGGCCAACUUCGUCCGCCGGACUAGGAAUGCCACGAGACUUUGCGAGGGGCCUCCGUGUGCCAAAAAUAGGCCGCGGGCAAAGCCGCGUCCAAAAAUAACCGCCCGAAGGCUGGGGCGCCAAGUUCGUCCAGCGGAAAAAGGCGACAAAAACGGGUGGGCCAUAGCCUUGGGGGGUGGGGCUGGCCAACUUCGUCCGCCGGACUAGGAAUGCCGCGAGACUUUGUGAGGAGCCUCCGUGUGCCAAAAAUAGGCCGCGGCCAAAGCCGCGCCAAAAAAUAACCACCCGAAGGCCGGGGCGCCAAGUUCGUCCAGCGGAAAAAGGCCACAAAAACGGGUGGGCUAUAGCCUUGGGGGGUGGGGCUGGCCAACUUCGUCCGCCGGACUCGGAAUGCCGCGAGACUUUGCGAGGGGCCUCCGUGUGCCAAAAAUAGGCCGCGGGGAAAGCCGCGUCCAAAAAUAACCACCCGAACGCCGGGGCGCCAAGUUCGUCCAGUGGAAAAAGGCCACAAAAACGGGUGGGCUAUAGCCUUGGGGGGUGGGGCUGGCCCACUUCGUCCGCCGGACUCGGAAUGCCGUGAGACUUUGCGAGGGGACUCUGUGUUCCAAAAAUAGGCUGUGGGCAAAGCCGCGCCCAAAAAUAACCGCCCGAAGGCCGGGGCGCCAAGUUCGUCCAGCGGAAAAAGGCCACAAAAACAGGUGGGCUAUAGCCUUGGGGGGUGGGGCUGCCCAAAUUCGUCCGCCGGACUCGGAAUGCCACGAGACUUUGGGAGGGGCCUCCGUGUGCCAAAAAUAGGCCACGCGCAAAGCCGCGUCCAAAAAUAACCGCCCGAAUGCCGGGGCGCCAAGUUUGUCCAGCGGAAAAAGGCCACAAAAACGGGUGGGCAAUAGCCUUGGGGGGUGGGGCUGGCCAACUUCGUCCGCCGGACUAGGAAUGCCACGAGACUUUGCGAGGGGCCUCCGUGUGCCAAAAAUAGGCCGUGGGCAAAGCCGCGCCCAAAAAUAACCGCCCGAAGGCUGGGGCGCCAAGUUCGUCCAGCGGAAAAAGGCGACAAAAACGGGUGGGCUAUAGCCUUGGGGGGUGGGGCUGGCCAACUUCGUCCGCCGGACUAGGAAUGCCGCGAGACUUUGUGAGGAGCCUCCGUGUGCCAAAAAUAGGCCGCGGCCAAAGCCGCGCCCAAAAAUAACUGCCCGAAGGCCGGGGCGCCAAGUUCGUCCAGCGGAGAAAGGCCACAAAAACGGGUGGGCUAUAGCCUUGGGGGGUGGGGCUGGCCCACUUCGUCCGCCGGACUCGGAAUGCCACGAGACUUUGCGAGG